RNAcentral lists this ribosomal RNA (620 nucleotides) under Stenotrophomonas maltophilia. RNAcentral's name for it is "bacterial SSU rRNA". It matches the Rfam family "Bacterial small subunit ribosomal RNA", at positions 34 to 646 of the family's 1533-position model. The record is from RNAcentral. Lineage: Bacteria; Pseudomonadati; Pseudomonadota; Gammaproteobacteria; Lysobacterales; Lysobacteraceae.
UGCAAUGCGGGAGGCUACCAUGCAAGUCGACGGCAGCACAGGAGAGCUUGCUCUCUGGGUGGCGAGUGGCGGACGGGUGAGGAAUACAUCGGAAUCUACUUUUUCGUGGGGGAUAACGUAGGGAAACUUACGCUAAUACCGCAUACGACCUACGGGUGAAAGCAGGGGAUCUUCGGACCUUGCGCGAUUGAAUGAGCCGAUGUCGGAUUAGCUAGUUGGCGGGGUAAAGGCCCACCAAGGCGACGAUCCGUAGCUGGUCUGAGAGGAUGAUCAGCCACACUGGAACUGAGACACGGUCCAGACUCCUACGGGAGGCAGCAGUGGGGAAUAUUGGACAAUGGGCGCAAGCCUGAUCCAGCCAUACCGCGUGGGUGAAGAAGGCCUUCGGGUUGUAAAGCCCUUUUGUUGGGAAAGAAAUCCAGCUGGUUAAUACCCGGUUGGGAUGACGGUACCCCAAGAAUAAGCACCGGCUAACUUCGUGCCAGCAGCCGCGGUAAUACGAAGGGUGCAAGCGUUACUCGGAAUUACUGGGCGUAAAGCGUGCGUAGGUGGUCGUUUAAGUCCGUUGUGAAAGCCCUGGGCUCAACCUGGGAACUGCAGUGGAUACUGGACGACUAGAG